RNAcentral lists this ribosomal RNA (253 nucleotides) under uncultured bacterium. RNAcentral describes it as "partial 16S ribosomal RNA". It matches the Rfam family "Bacterial small subunit ribosomal RNA", at positions 524 to 776 of the family's 1533-position model. The record is from RNAcentral.
UACGAAGGGGGCUAGCGUUGUUCGGAUUUACUGGGCGUAAAGCGCACGUAGGCGGAUCGUUAAGUCUGGUGUGAAAUCCCGGGGCUCAACCCCGGAACUGCACUGGAUACUGCCAUGCUUGAGUACUGGAGAGGAGAUUGGAAUUUACGGUGUAGCAGUGAAAUGCGUAGAUAUCGUAAGGAAGACCAGUGGCGAAGGCGAAUCUCUGGACAGUUACUGACACUGAGGCACGAAGGCCAGGGGAGCAAACGGG